Long non-coding RNA from Salvia splendens (bonfire salvia), 1331 nucleotides. RefSeq lists it as uncharacterized. The record is from RefSeq and is a predicted model, not a curated record. NCBI's taxonomy places the organism in Eukaryota, Viridiplantae, Streptophyta, Magnoliopsida, Lamiales, Lamiaceae. The transcript is spliced from 4 exons.
UCUCUCACCAAUUCACCUUCUACCGCCCUCGAUUUCGAAAAAUCCCCAAAUCCUAAUUUUCAUUCCAUUGAUCCACAAUUUCAUCAGGAUAUUGAUUUACACGACCAGUUGCAGAUACGUGCGGAGCAUAUGAUUUUGAGUGUUCGCAGCUUCCAGGUGAUUCAAGGUUCGAUUUUUGUGACAUGAUUCAGGAAAUAUCAUACAGUGUUAUUUUAUGAUAUUCUGAUAGAGACAUCAGUUGUCAGCAAUAAUCUACGCUUUUAUAUGAAAUGUUUUGUUAUUUUAGUUUACCAUUUAUUGAAUGCAAUUUUGUAUGAAUGCACCCACGAGGGGAGGGCUUGUUGUAUUGUCAUAUUAUUCACUGUCUAAGUUAGAUUUUCUUGUAUUAUUUAUGGUGAAUUUGGUUUUCCUAUGGCUAAUUUCACCAAUUGUAUGAAUUAUCUAUGGUGGUUUCGGUUUAUGUAUGGCUUGAGAGCCCAACUGUGUAUUUCCAUGAUAUCCAAAUGUAUUGACAUAUUUCAUUCAAUUCAAUACAAGUAGGUUUCAUAGACUCAUCCCCAGUCAAUCCAAUUUGAGGCAUUCCAUUAUUGAUAACUGGUUAUUUGUCUAAAUGGCUAAUGUUGUUCUGGUUUUGAUUUAAUUAUGUUGGAUGCAAGUGAAAUUGGUGGUGCAAGGAGGGGUUUGAGACUUGGUAAGAUUAAAAAAAUUUGUGGCGGCGCAAUGAGUGCAAGGGUAGAAGGAGUUCGUAUGAUCCAGGGAUGAGGAGACAAGUUAGUGGUGGAAAAGAAAUUUGUCGGGCAAUCCAAAACCACAACAAGUUAAGAGGCGAUGGAUAAGGAGGGGGUGGAGUAGGAGGAGGCGGUGGUGCAGCAGCAGGAAGGAGAGAGGGAGGAUGAGGAAGGAGGAACGGCGGUACAAUAACAACAACAUGGGAAGGAGGGAAGAGGUGGAAGGGAGUAUGUGGGUGCGUAUGGCAGGUCAGAGAGCAUUUAUCGCUGGUGUAGCUGAUGAUAAUGGAUAUGGUUAGGCUAUUGCAAAAUAUUUAACUGUUGUAGGAGCUGAAGUUCUCCUUGGCACAUGGGUGCCUAUUCGAAUUCGAGUAUAAAGGAUAAUGAGCGGUGACCCUUAUGCAUUAGUGUGUUGGAUAGUGACGUGUACUGCAAUAAUCGCACCUCAGCUAAGCAAGCAGUGUGUGGCCAUCUUUACCCCAAAUUAUUCACUCUCUAUCAUACGUUCAAAUCCCUUGAUAUUGUUUUACAAUGUUAGUCAAAUGACUUUAACGACUAGAUACUUUGGAUUUCUAUAUAUUCAAAUUUAUCAUUUUAUUUGAA